CCCACUUCCCCUUCCCCCUUUACUAUUUUAUAUGCAAGCAGCUUUCCUCCCCACAUGCUCUUCUCUCAGAGGGAGCCAGGAGCCCACUGCUGGAAGAGGGGCCACAACAGCACUGGGAGAAAUCAAGAAUAACCCCUCUCCUUAUCCCCCAGAUCAGUCUCUUCUUCCCACAGACUCUGCUUGCUCCUCACACAUCUCGGCCCCCCACUCUUAGGUCCACCAUGUGCUAUUCGAAGGUCAAGACCUCAGAAUUGGAAGAUUUCAGGCAACUUGUUCACCAGAAAGCUGACAGUUCAUAGACAGCAUUAAAUUGAGAAUAAAUGAGGAUGAUGAUUCAACAGACUUGGAAAAUAUUCAAAAUUUAACCUCUCAGUACGAGGAGGACAUCAAUAACUAUUUGAUGGAUACUGUCGAUGCUGAAUAUCAGAAACAAAAUCAGGACCACACUGGGGUCCGCAUCACUGAGCAGCUGAAGCUGAAGGAGAAAAUGAAGAAUGAUGAUGCCUCUUACAAUGAGCCAAUAACGGGAAAUACAACACUGGAAAAGGCCCUCAGUAUCUGGGAGUUGAUGCUGAAAAAGAUUAAGGAUGGGUGGAACAAAGUUCUUGAGUUUGUGAGGCAGAUAGUUGGUUUUGUGAAGAAGAUUAAAGAUGAUAUAGUAAAGGCAGUGAAAAGUAUAUGGGAGAUGUUGAAGAGCCUAUUUUAAUUCCCUCCAUGGUAGAAAGAACUGCACGUCAUGGGUACUUUGUAAGGCUUCCAGAUUUAGGGUAAUUUUAAUUUUUUUCAAAUUAUAAACUUCAUGAAAAAAGAAGGUGGGAGAGAAUUUCCAUGCACACAGCAGAAUAUCAAAAGAAGAUUCUAUAUGUAAACCUAAAUUUCUGUUUCAUAUCAUUUGCUUUAAGAUAAAAUAAUAAAGUCUCUAUAUUACAUAGAGAUCUCUCCUGA
Molecule: long non-coding RNA, 945 nt
Organism: Phascolarctos cinereus (koala)
Lineage: Eukaryota; Metazoa; Chordata; Mammalia; Diprotodontia; Phascolarctidae
Source: RefSeq, a predicted model, not a curated record